This 497-nucleotide ribosomal RNA is filed under the name uncultured bacterium. RNAcentral's name for it is "partial 16S ribosomal RNA". It matches the Rfam family "Bacterial small subunit ribosomal RNA", at positions 28 to 507 of the family's 1533-position model. The record is from RNAcentral.
GAUGAAGGCUGGCGGCGUGCCUAAUACAUGCAAGUCGAGCGAACAGAUAAGGAGCUUGCUCCUUUGACGUUAGCGGCGGACGGGUGAGUAACACGUGGGUAACCUACCUAUAAGACUGGAAUAACUCCGGGAAACCGGGGCUAAUGCCGGAUAACAUUUAGAACCGCAUGGUUCUAAAGUGAAAGAUGGUUUUGCUAUCACUUAUAGAUGGACCCGCGCCGUAUUAGCUAGUUGGUAAGGUAACGGCUUACCAAGGCAACGAUACGUAGCCGACCUGAGAGGGUGAUCGGCCACACUGGAACUGAGACACGGUCCAGACUCCUACGGGAGGCAGCAGUAGGGAAUCUUCCGCAAUGGGCGAAAGCCUGACGGAGCAACGCCGCGUGAGUGAUGAAGGUCUUCGGAUCGUAAAACUCUGUUAUUAGGGAAGAACAAAUGUGUAAGUAACUGUGCACGUCUUGACGGUACCUAAUCAGAAAGCCACGGCUAACUACGUG